Musa acuminata subsp. malaccensis (wild Malaysian banana) is the source of this 370-nucleotide non-coding RNA. NCBI's taxonomy places the organism in Eukaryota, Viridiplantae, Streptophyta, Magnoliopsida, Zingiberales, Musaceae. The record is from RefSeq and is a predicted model, not a curated record.
CACGCACACCUCGGAUUCCACCAUCGUCAGCCUGGGCUUCGAUACCUCUAUUUAAGGGGCAGAUGCUUCACCGUCCUCUCUUCUCUCCUUUCCGCUACCGUCGCCCUCGGCCCCGCAGUGGCUCACCUACCGGAGCCCACCGAUCGUCUCGUCUCGCGGUCUUGCCAGCGCUCGGGGUUCUUGAUGAUGGGGGAUCUGUGACGGGAAAUUUCCGGUUUAAAGAUGACAUUCUUGGUAUUGCGAUUGACAUUGCCGCAUAUGAAAUUUUCGUCUAAGGUUUUGUUCUUGGUCAUCUUUAGUUCUUGAUCUGACAUGCGAUGAGAGACGAGAGAUUCCCCGUUGAAUGAUAAUUGCAGCUGAUAUUGCCAUA